GUGCCAGCAGCCGCGGUAAUACGAAGGGGGCGAGCGUUAUUCGGAAUCACUGGGCGUAAAGCGUGCGUAGGCUGUUCUGCAAGUCAGGAGUGAAAGCCCAAGGCUCAACCUUGGAAGCGCUCUUGAAACUGCAGGACUCGAAUUUGGGAGAGGAUAGCGGAAUUGUCAGUGUAGCAGUGAAAUGCGUAGAUAUUGACAGGAACACCAGUGGCGCAAGCGGCUAUCUGGACCAACAUUGACGCUGAGGCACGAAAGCGUGGGGAUCAAACAGGAUUAGAAACCCGGGUAGUCC
RNAcentral lists this ribosomal RNA (292 nucleotides) under uncultured bacterium. RNAcentral's name for it is "partial 16S ribosomal RNA". It matches the Rfam family "Bacterial small subunit ribosomal RNA", at positions 505 to 796 of the family's 1533-position model. The record is from RNAcentral.